UUUUUGUGCUUUACAUUUUCAUUCAUUUUAUAGUAUUUAACAAUUUUCAUACUUAUGCCCAUUAUAAUCUCAAUAAAAUAGGACACGGAUACUACAGGACUCCACAAACACCAAUAAACGUAAAGUGAAAUGUUCAGAGGCCAUAGAACUCCAAUGGUUGGCAACUGAUGUUCAACCAAAGAUAUCAUAAUAAAACUCCAAAAAAAAAAAAAUACAUAUCACGCAACUCCGAACCAC
This 237-nucleotide long non-coding RNA is filed under the name Gossypium raimondii (Peruvian cotton). RNAcentral describes it as "long non-coding RNA (GRAI_LNC010334)". The record is from RNAcentral. Lineage: Eukaryota; Viridiplantae; Streptophyta; Magnoliopsida; Malvales; Malvaceae.